RNAcentral lists this transfer RNA (100 nucleotides) under Felis catus (domestic cat). It matches the Rfam family "tRNA". Rfam says of the family: Transfer RNA (tRNA) molecules are approximately 80 nucleotides in length. Their secondary structure includes four short double-helical elements and three loops (D, anti-codon, and T loops). The record is from Rfam by way of RNAcentral. Lineage: Eukaryota; Metazoa; Chordata; Mammalia; Carnivora; Felidae.
GCCUGGGUGGCUCAGUCGGUUAAGCAUCUGACUUCGGCUCAGGUCAUGAUCUCGCGGUCCGUGAGUUCAAGCCCCGCGAGUUCAAGCCCCGCAUCGGGCU